Molecule: ribosomal RNA, 174 nt
Filed under: uncultured bacterium
Lineage: Bacteria
Description: partial 16S ribosomal RNA
Rfam family: Bacterial small subunit ribosomal RNA
Source: RNAcentral
CCUACGGGAGGCAGCAGUGGGGAAUAUUGCACAAUGGGCGCAAGCCUGAUGCAGCAACGCCGCGUGAGGGACGACGGCCUUCCCGUUGUAAACCUCAAUUAGUAGGGAAGAAGCGAAAGUGACGGUACCUGCAGAAAAAGCACCGGCUAACUACGUGCCAGCAGCCGCGGUAAU